This 468-nucleotide ribosomal RNA is filed under the name uncultured bacterium. RNAcentral describes it as "bacterial SSU rRNA". It matches the Rfam family "Bacterial small subunit ribosomal RNA", at positions 328 to 793 of the family's 1533-position model. The record is from RNAcentral.
GCAGAGCACUCCUACGGGAGGCAGCAGUAAGGAAUAUUGGUCAAUGGACGCAAGUCUGAACCAGCCAUGCCGCGUGAAGGAUGAAGGUCCUCUGGAUUGUAAACUUCUUUUAUAGGGGGCGAAAAAAGGUUUUUCUAAAUCACUUGACAGUACCCUAUGAAUAAGCACCGGCUAACUCCGUGCCAGCAGCCGCGGUAAUACGGAGGGUGCAAGCGUUAUCCGGAUUCACUGGGUUUAAAGGGUGCGUAGGCGGGUAGGUAAGUCAGAGGUGAAAUCCUGGAGCUUAACUCCAGAACUGCCUUUGAUACUAUCUAUCUUGAAUAUGGUGGAGGUAAGCGGAAUAUGUCAUGUAGCGGUGAAAUGCAUAGAUAUGACAUAGAACACCUAUUGCGAAGGCAGCUUACUACGCCUAUAUUGACGCUGAGGCACGAAAGCGUGGGGAUCAAACAGGAUUAGAUACCCUGGUAG